CCUGAGUACGACGGAGCACGUGAAAUUCCGUCGGAAUCUGGGAGGACCAUCUCCUAAGGCUAAAUACUCUCUAGUGACCGAUAGUGAACCAGUACCGUGAGGGAAAGGUGAAAAGUACCCCGGAAGGGGAGUGAAAGAGAACUUGAAACCGUGUGCUUACAAGUAGUCAGAGCCCGUUAAUGGGUGAUGGCGUGCCUUUUGUAGAAUGAACCGGCGAGUUACGAUCUGAUGCAAGGUUAAGCAGAAAAUGUGGAGCCGUAGCGAAAGCGAGUCUGAAUAGGGCGAAUGAGUAUUUGGUCGUAGACCCGAAACCAGGUGAUCUACCCUUGGUCAGGUUGAAGUUCAGGUAACACUGAAUGGAGGACCGAACCGACUUACGUUGAAAAGUGAGCGGAUGAACUGAGGGUAGCGGAGAAAUUCCAAUCGAACUUGGAGAUAGCUGGUUCUCUCCGAAAUAGCUUUAGGGCUAGCCUCAAGUGAUGAUUAUUGGAGGUAGAGCACUGUUUGGACGAGGGGCCCCUCUCGGGUUACCGAAUUCAGACAAACUCCGAAUGCCAAAUAAUUUAACUUGGGAGUCAGAAUGUGGGUGAUAAGGUCCAUAUUCGAAAGGGAAACAGCCCAGACCACCAGCUAAGGUCCCAAAAUAUAUGUUAAGUGGAAAAGGAUGUGGCGUUGCCCAGACAACUAGGAUGUUGGCUUAGAAGCAGCCAUCAUUUAAAGAGUGCGUAAUAGCUCACUAGUCGAGUGACACUGCGCCGAAAAUGUACCGGGGCUAAACAUAUUACCGAAGCUGUGGAUUGUCCUUUGGACAAUGGUAGGAGAGCGUUCUAAGGGCGUUGAAGCAUGAUCGCAAGGACAUGUGGAGCGCUUAGAAGUGAGAAUGCCGGUGUGAGUAGCGAAAGACGGGUGAGAAUCCCGUCCACCGAUUGACUAAGGUUUCCAGAGGAAGGCUCGUCCGCUCUGGGUUAGUCGGGUCCUAAGCUGAGGCCGACAGGCGUAGGCGAUGGAUAACAGGUUGAUAUUCCUGUACCACCAUUAUUCGUUUUAAGCGAUGGGGGGACGCAGUAGGAUAGGCGAAGCGUGCUGUUGGAGUGCACGUCCAAGCAGUGAGAUUGAGUGUUAGGCAAAUCCGGCACUCUUAAGAUUGAGCUGUGAUGGGGAGAGGAACUUGUUCCUCGAGUCGUUGAUUUCACACUGCCGAGAAAAGCCUCUAGCUAGAAUAACGGUGCCCGUACCGCAAACCGACACAGGUAGUCAAGAUGAGAAUUCUAAGGUGAGCGAGCGAACUCUCGUUAAGGAACUCGGCAAAAUGACCCCGUAACUUCGGGAGAAGGGGUGCUCUUUGAGGUUCACGCUUCGAAGAGCCGCAGUGAAUAGGCCCAAGCGACUGUUUAUCAAAAACACAGGUCUCUGCUAAACCGUAAGGUGACGUAUAGGGGCUGACGCCUGCCCGGUGCUGGAAGGUUAAGAGGAGUGGUUAGCG
RNAcentral lists this ribosomal RNA (1483 nucleotides) under Staphylococcus pseudintermedius. Its description in RNAcentral is "partial 23S ribosomal RNA". It matches the Rfam family "Bacterial large subunit ribosomal RNA", at positions 407 to 1895 of the family's 2925-position model. Lineage: Bacteria; Bacillati; Bacillota; Bacilli; Caryophanales; Staphylococcaceae. The record is from RNAcentral.